Molecule: ribosomal RNA, 453 nt
Filed under: uncultured bacterium
Lineage: Bacteria
Description: partial 16S ribosomal RNA
Rfam family: Bacterial small subunit ribosomal RNA
Source: RNAcentral
GAUGAACGCUGGCGGAAUGCUUAACACAUGCAAGUCGACCUGAACUUCUGUUUGGGUGGCGGACGCGUGAGUAACGCGUAAAUAACUUGCCUCACAGAUAGGGACAACAUUUGGAAACGAAUGCUAAGACCUGAUAUUAUGAUUAUAGUGCAUCGUCUAAUUAUGAAAGCUAUAUGCGGUGUGAGAGAGCGUUGCGUACCAAUAUCUAGUUGGAGCGGUAACGGCGCACCAAGGCGAGUAAGGGUAGCCGACCUGAGAGGGUGGUCGGCCACAAGGGGACUGAGACACCGCCGUUACUACUUCGGGAGAGAGGAGUGGAGAAUAUUGGACAAUGGACCAAGAGUCUGAUCCAGCAAUGCUGUGUGCAAGAUGAAGUUUUUCGGAAUGUAAAGUGCUUUCAGUUAGGAAGAAAAAAAUGCCGGUACCAACAGAAGAAGUCAGGGCAAAAUCCUU